Long non-coding RNA from Halichondria panicea, 2806 nucleotides. RefSeq lists it as uncharacterized. The record is from RefSeq and is a predicted model, not a curated record. Lineage: Eukaryota; Metazoa; Porifera; Demospongiae; Suberitida; Halichondriidae. The transcript is spliced from 3 exons.
UCAUGUGACUUAUGAGGAAUUACCAGCUGGAACUACUCACACAACGUUCCUUGUCAGCCGAUAUCUUGGGAAAUGGAUUAAAGCAGACAGAUACAAGUAUAUAACAAGAUGAGAUGCAGCUCACUUUCCAUAAUUUCAUGUGCUUCAUAUAGUGUCUGGACAGCAGUGUGGUACAGUCGGUCGUGUGGGCAGUACAAGGCCUGGUGUUAAUAGAGCAGAAAAUGAGUUCUUCAUUGAUCGUGGUAAUCGUGCUGGAUGUGCUGGGAUGAUCACCUCACUCUCUUACUGUUUCCAUCAACCACCAUUGGCACCUACGACAGGAGCUACUACUAUGGAAGCAACUACUGUAACCAUGGAAUCAACUACAAUAGAAGUAACUACACCUUCCACAAUUACAACUGAACCAACUGAGGACACCACCUCCGUCGAAGACUUCACGACAGACAUAACCACAGCAGGUGGUUCACUGAUUACUGAUGGGGACUCUGCUACAGCAACCACAAACCGAAGGACAACGAGCAACUCUGAUGCCACCACUGCACAACCCAUUGGUGGUGGGGGAGGUGGUUCUAAUGUAGCAACCAUUGCUGUGGUAGUUGUGUUCAUUGUUGUGAUCAUUGCUUUAUAGUCGCCAUGCAUACUAAUACUUGUGUUGUUAAGGAGACGAUCGAAAGCAUUGCACUCAAUAAACAACAAUGAAGUACAUGACACAUCUGGGAAAGAAACUGCUGUUGACUUGAAGUCCAACGAAGCUUACGGUAUUCAUGGUGAGCCUCGAGACACUCCCACAGACUAUGACAAUGUUUUUGAUGAAUGCAUUGUUGACUCGCCUAGUCAGCAAUUCCAAAUUUUUUAGCAACCCAAUAUAGAUGUCUGCCAUCUGUAAUGCUUUUAUUUCUGAAACUCAAUUAAUUCUUACGUUGUUUGUGUACGCACCAAAACAACCUCGCUCUAUUAAUCUAAAGUCCAAUGAGGCUUACGGUGUUCACGGCAAGACUCGAGACACUCCCACAAACUACUACGAUAUUGUUCUUGACGAAUCAAAAGUAGAAGAUGCAAAGGAGCCUCUUCAUGAUAAUGUCACAGAAGCUUCUCAACAACCCAUUGAUGUGACUUAUGACGAAGUACCAGGACCUAUAUACACUACAAUGAUCCCAGUCAGCCAAUACCUUUGGAAAACAAAGAAGCUUACAAUGUCCACGUCCACAAAUCUGAAACUACAGAAAUGUUGGGUGAAACAUGCUCGCAACAAGUUGACUUGAAGUCCAAUGAGGCGUAUGGUGUGAGAGGGGAGGUGCAAGUUGCUACCAUUAAUGGGACCACUGAUGCAGUGUACUAUAGUGUCAUUGACUCGCCUGGUCAGCAAUCUGUAUAGAGACAACCAGUGGAGCUGAAAUUCAAAAGGCAGCAAAGAGGAAUGCAGAGGCAUAAUUAUUAUGGAAACUGUUGAUAUUACUAUUCCUUGAAUCACUGUAUACAUUGUGUAUACAGUGAUUGCCUGAUAUUUUAGUGCAACUAGUCAUUAUUGUGGUUUGUUUGAGCUGUAGGAGACCAACAUAAAAAAUGAACAAAUGAAAGCACCGCAGGUGCUGAUGCCUCGGUGGAGGUGCCAAAGCUACAUAACAUAAAACUACUACUUUUAUACACACAUUGAUUAUUAAUAUCAUGAUGAACAUCUUUUAUUUUGCUGCAUGCAAUCAACCGAAUAGUGGGUAAUGAUCGACCAUGAUUGUUGUUAAAAACGAUCGAUGCCAAAAGUUCAAGUCUAAAAUUAAUGGCUGCAAGUCAGCAGAGCCUUGCAGCUCUCUGCUCACUCUUGCAGCUACCAAUAGCUAACGUUCUAGUGCAGAGCUAACUACUAAGUAGAGUAGUAACACUCAGUGAACAAGUUUUGCUACGGACUCUUCUGAAAAGGCUGCAAUGGCAUUCCAAGUAAGCAAAACUAGGCAUAACUCGAGAACGAAGCAUUAUUUUACAAAUCCACGAAUUCAAAUCCAAGUAAACAUGACUAGAAGCCUAUAGAAACUCUUACUUGCACUUGAUUCAUCCUUGAGCAGCUGUAGCGGUCUACACAGACACACAGACACACAAACACACUACCGUAUACCUCGCUUGCGCAUGCACACCGAGGGAUAAUUAUUAUAGCUAUAUAUUUCAGACACAGUCUACUAGACUGAGGCAACUUUAGUUUUUAUGUAAACUGACUGAUACAAGUAGGAUGAGAUGCAGCACACUGUUUCAAUGAUAUAUCUACAUUGGGCUUAUAAGUGUCUGCUAUACGUAUGUUGAUUCUGCAGGAGCUUUUAAGGAACAUUUUGAAGUACACCUAGAAUACGAUUAUUUUUCUAUAUCUAGUUUACUCCUUGGUUGACAGCAGCUCUAAGUGUUCAUCUCCAGCAUACUCUACAGUAGCACUCUGAUCUAGAUUAUGAAACUUAAAAUCACUGCAUUGUAUCAUGAUUCUUACAGCAAGAUGUCCGACUCUGUUUGUUACACAAACUGCAUGAGGUAAUUUUAUUUAACAGGAAAUUUUGCAUGGUCAGUUUCUGUUAUAAAUGUGACGUACUUGGAGCUUGUGUCAAUAUUAGCCAUUUCUUUCCUGCAUGGAUGGUGUUUAUAACGAUUAUAUGUACGUAUUUAUUAACUGCUUUACUGCAUGUUUCCAUGCAGAAAAAUGUAAGCAAUUAGUCUUAUUCCAGGCCAGGCCUUAAGAGUACUGGAAGCUGGUAAAAGACUCUCUCCACCUCCUGGCUGUUCGAAGAUGAUUUACGAGCUCAUGACCUUCAGUCAUGAGCGUAUGGUGUGA